RNAcentral lists this long non-coding RNA (301 nucleotides) under Capsicum annuum. RNAcentral's name for it is "long non-coding RNA (CANN_LNC009230)". The record is from RNAcentral. Lineage: Eukaryota; Viridiplantae; Streptophyta; Magnoliopsida; Solanales; Solanaceae.
CCCAUCUUCGGCAUAUCUUAUGGCUUCCCUGCAGAGACUGUUGUAUCUCUGUGCCAUUGAUUCAGAAUCAUGUACUUGUUCAGCUGAUUCAGCACCGCAUUUUGCAUUUAUUGUCCACCGCUUCAAGAUGUAAUGUGAUGGCAAUGUAAGAAUAUUAUUUACUGUAAAAACUGUAAGAAUAUGUCUACAGAGGAUACCACUACAUUCAAACAUCUGGCAGCUGCAAUUUGCUUUCAGUUCAGAUAUAUUCAAUGAGACAAUGUAUGCUUUCUGGUCAUCCUCAAAUUUUGCAACUCUGAAU